UACGUAGGGGGCUAGCGUUGUCCGGAAUCAUUGGGCGUAAAGAGCGUGUAGGCGGUCCGGUAAGUCCGCUGUGAAAGUCGGGGGCUCAACCCUCGAAUGCCGGUGGAUACUGUCGGGCUAGAGUGCGGAAGAGGCGAGUGGAAUUCCUGGUGUAGCGGUGAAAUGCGCAGAUAUCAGGAGGAACACCAAUGGCGAAGGCAGCUCGCUGGAACGGUACUGACGCUGAGGCGCGAAAGCGUGGGGAGCAAACAGG
Molecule: ribosomal RNA, 253 nt
Filed under: uncultured bacterium
Lineage: Bacteria
Description: partial 16S ribosomal RNA
Rfam family: Bacterial small subunit ribosomal RNA
Source: RNAcentral